This 23-nucleotide non-coding RNA is filed under the name Cricetulus griseus (Chinese hamster). Lineage: Eukaryota; Metazoa; Chordata; Mammalia; Rodentia; Cricetidae. The record is from RNAcentral.
AAUUAGUUUUUGUAUUGGAAGGG